RNAcentral lists this ribosomal RNA (253 nucleotides) under uncultured bacterium. RNAcentral's name for it is "partial 16S ribosomal RNA". It matches the Rfam family "Bacterial small subunit ribosomal RNA", at positions 524 to 776 of the family's 1533-position model. The record is from RNAcentral.
UACGGAGGGCGCAAGCGUUGUUCGGAAUCACUGGGCGUAAAGCGCGUGUAGGCGGCUUUGCAAGCCGGGUGUGAAAGCCCGAGGCUCAACCUCGGAACUGCACUCGAUACUGCUUGGCUCGAGUCCCGGAGAGGGUGGCGGAAUUCCCGGUGUAGGGGUGAAAUCCGUAGAGAUCGGGAGGAACACCAGUGGCGAAGGCGGCCUCCUGGACGGUGACUGACGCUGAGACGCGAAAGCGUGGGGAGCAAACAGG